RNAcentral lists this small nucleolar RNA (88 nucleotides) under Zostera marina. RNAcentral's name for it is "Small nucleolar RNA Z159/U59". It matches the Rfam family "Small nucleolar RNA Z159/U59". Rfam says of the family: This family consists of several snoRNA Z159 or U59 sequences which are members of the C/D class of snoRNA which contain the C (UGAUGA) and D (CUGA) box motifs. This family seems to be found exclusively in rice. The record is from Rfam by way of RNAcentral. Lineage: Eukaryota; Viridiplantae; Streptophyta; Magnoliopsida; Alismatales; Zosteraceae.
UGUUCUGGUGAUGACCAAACAUAAACUUUCGUUCUGCCGAGAUUUUAUUCAGUGCGGAAUAUAAUAUGGAGACCUGAACUGAAGAACC